UUGACUCUUAAUAGGUCUUGGAAUAAGGGGGGGGUAAGACCGGUGCCAGCCGCCGCGGUAAUACCGGCCCCCCAAGUGGUCGUCACUUUUAUUGGGCCUAAAACGUCCGUAGCCGGUUUAGUAAACCCGUGGGUAAAUCAACCAGCUCAACUGGUUGAAUUCUGCGGAGACUGCUAGACUAGGGACCGGGAGAGGUACGAGGUACUCUUGGGGUAGGGGUAAAAUCCUGUCAUCCCAGGGGGACCACUUGUUGCGAAGGCGUCGUACUAGAACGGAUCCGACGGUCAGGGACGAAGCCUAGGGGCACGAACCGGAUUAGAUACCCGGGUAGUCCUAGGUGCAAACGCUGUGGACUUGGUGUUGGGGAUUCCAUGAGGGUUCCCAGUGCCGAAGCGAAGGUGUUAAGUCCACUGCCUGGGGAGUACGGUCGCAAGGCUGAAACUUAAAGGAAUUGGCGGGGGAGCACUGCAACGAGAGGAGCGUGCGGUUUAAUUGGAUUCAACGCCGGGAAUC
This 513-nucleotide ribosomal RNA is filed under the name uncultured Candidatus Poseidoniales archaeon. RNAcentral's name for it is "bacterial SSU rRNA". It matches the Rfam family "Archaeal small subunit ribosomal RNA", at positions 413 to 926 of the family's 1478-position model. Lineage: Archaea; Methanobacteriati; Thermoplasmatota; Candidatus Poseidoniia; Candidatus Poseidoniales. The record is from RNAcentral.